Molecule: ribosomal RNA, 301 nt
Filed under: uncultured bacterium
Lineage: Bacteria
Description: partial 16S ribosomal RNA
Rfam family: Bacterial small subunit ribosomal RNA
Source: RNAcentral
CAGUAGCCGCGGGAAUACGAAGGGUGCAAGCGUUAAUCGGAAUUACUGGGCGUAAAGCGUGCGUAGGCGGUGAGUUAAGUCUGCUGUGAAAGCCCUGGGCUCAACCUGGGAAUUGCAGUGGAUACUGGGUCACUAGAGUGUGGUAGAGGAUAGUGGAAUCUCCGGUGUAGCAGUGAAAUGCGUAGAGAUCGGAAGGAACAUCUGUGGCGAAGGCGACUAUCUGGGCCAACACUGACACUGAGGCACGAAAGCGUGGGGAGCAAACAGGAUUAGAUACCCGCGUAGUCCCUGUCUCUUAUAC